AUGGAGCUCUCGCCCUUGAUUGUCCAAACGCAAUUCUUGUUCCAAUAGAAAUAUCAAGCCAAGAAUUGUGCCUGGACAUCUGUGGCUGGUGAUCC
Molecule: microRNA precursor, 95 nt
Filed under: Xenopus tropicalis (tropical clawed frog)
Lineage: Eukaryota; Metazoa; Chordata; Amphibia; Anura; Pipidae
Description: microRNA xtr-mir-219 precursor
Gene: xtr-mir-219
Rfam family: mir-219 microRNA precursor family (bases 9-89)
About the family: The hairpin precursors (represented here) are predicted based on base pairing and cross-species conservation -- their extents are not known.
Source: miRBase by way of RNAcentral